This 552-nucleotide ribosomal RNA is filed under the name Calliphora vicina (urban bluebottle blowfly). Its description in RNAcentral is "partial 16S ribosomal RNA". It matches the Rfam family "Bacterial large subunit ribosomal RNA", at positions 1797 to 2619 of the family's 2925-position model. The record is from RNAcentral. Lineage: Eukaryota; Metazoa; Arthropoda; Insecta; Diptera; Calliphoridae.
CACCUGUUUAUCAAAAACAUGUCUUUUUGAAUUUUUUUUAAAGUCUAACCUGCCCACUGAAAUUUUUAAAUGGCCGCAGUAUACUAACUGUGCAAAGGUAGCAUAAUCAUUAGUCUUUUAAUUGAAGGCUGGUAUGAAUGGUUGGACGAGAUAUUAACUGUUUCAUAAGAAUUUAUAAUAGAAUUUUAUUUUUUAGUCAAAAAGCUAAAAUAUAUUUAAAAGACGAGAAGACCCUAUAAAUCUUUAUAUUUAGAUUAUUAUAAUUUUAUAGAUUUUUUUUGUUAUAAUAAUCAAUGAUAUUUUAUUGGGGUGAUAUUAAAAUUUAAUAAACUUUUAAUUGUUAAAAUCAUUAAUUUAUGAAUAAUUGAUCCGUUAUUAGCGAUUAAAAAAAUAAGUUACUUUAGGGAUAACAGCGUAAUUUUUUUGGAGAGUUCAUAUCGAUAAAAAAGAUUGCGACCUCGAUGUUGGAUUAAGAUAUAAUUUUAGGUGUAGCCGCUUAAAUUUUAAGUCUGUUCGACUUUUAAAUUCUUACGUGAUCUGAGUUCAGACCGG